UGGGAGUCUGAUACACGGAUAGAUCAGUCAUGUUCUGUCUGUCACUGAAUCUCCCUAAAUUAACACUGCUCUCUGAUGACCGGAACGACCUGAGAGAAAUCGUGACGGACAGAUACGGGGCAGACAAGU
Non-coding RNA from Spea bombifrons (plains spadefoot toad), 129 nucleotides. RefSeq annotates it as small Cajal body-specific RNA 8. NCBI's taxonomy places the organism in Eukaryota, Metazoa, Chordata, Amphibia, Anura, Pelobatidae. The record is from RefSeq and is a predicted model, not a curated record. The transcript has a single exon.